RNAcentral lists this long non-coding RNA (362 nucleotides) under Capra hircus (goat). RNAcentral describes it as "lncRNA (ENSCHIG00000006966.1)". Lineage: Eukaryota; Metazoa; Chordata; Mammalia; Artiodactyla; Bovidae. The record is from RNAcentral.
GUCUUGCCAACGAUGUUCCUGAAGCAGAGAGGAGGUGAUGGUGUGGAAACUGAAGUGCUUGAGGAAUGGUGUCAAGGAAGCUGAGCAGCCACCCACCUGGACAAUAACUUAUCCUACAUGUCGCCUGCUGGCAGGAGAGCAAAAGGGUGUGGAGACAGUUGCCCGAUUCAUCGAGGAAGAAGGUCAUCUAUGCAGACAGUGUUGAGAGGUGACCCUAGGGUUACUUCUGCUCAAAUUUCAGACAUGGUGGAGAAUCCACUCAAAUUUGCAAAAAGCAUUCCUGAUCUCCCUCCCAGUCUCAUAAAGGUAAGGCUGGCGCAUCUAGGCUGAAGUGGUGGGGUCUAUUCCCAGAAGGCUCCCUG